GUCUUUUUGAUUUUAAUUUAAAGUCUAGCCUGCCCMCUGAUUAUUUAAAGGGCUGCAGUAUUUUGACUGUACAAAGGUAGCAUAAUCAAUAGUUUCUUAAUUAGAAGCUGGAAUGAAUGGUUGGAUAAGAAAAUUACUGUCUCAAAUUUAAUUUUAUAAAAUUUUAUUUUUAAGUUAAAAAGCUUAAAUAGUUUUAAUAGACGAGAAGACCCUAUAGAGUUUAAUAAUUUAUUAUUUUUUUAAAUUUUUAGUUAUAAUUUUUUAUUAAAUAAUAAAUUAUUUGGUUGGGGUGAUUUAAAAAUUUAAAUAACUUUUUUUUAUAUAUACCAUAUAUUUAUGAAUAAAUGAUCCAUUAUUAUGAUUAAAAGAUUAAAUUACCUUAGGGAUAACAGCGUAAUUUUUUCUAAAAGUUCUUAUUGAAGAAAAAGAUUGCGACCUCGAUGUUGGAUUAAAGUUAAUUUUUGGUGUAGAAGCUAAAUAAUUAAGUCUGUUCGACUUUWAAAACUUUACA
This 511-nucleotide ribosomal RNA is filed under the name Paniegena baloghi. RNAcentral's name for it is "partial 16S ribosomal RNA". The stretch from base 385 to 511 matches the Rfam family "Archaeal large subunit ribosomal RNA", at positions 2544 to 2671 of the family's 2987-position model. Lineage: Eukaryota; Metazoa; Arthropoda; Insecta; Coleoptera; Endomychidae. The record is from RNAcentral.